GAUCAGUGGCUACAGAACGACGCUGGCGGCAUGCCUAACACAUGCAAGUCGAACGAGACCUUCGGGUCUAGUGGCGCACGGGUGCGUAACACGUGGGAAUUUGCCUCGGGGUAUGGAAUAACUCAGGGAAACUUGAGCUAAUACCAUAUAAUGUCUUCGGACCAAAGAUUUAUCGCCCUGAGAUAAGCCCGCGUAGGAUUAGCUAGUUGGUGGGGUAAAGGCUCACCAAGGCGACGAUCCUUAGCUGGUCUGAGAGGAUGAUCAGCCACACUGGGACUGAGACACGGCCCAGACUCCUACGGGAGGCAGCGGUGGGGAAUAUUGGACAAUGGGCGAAAGCCUGAUCCAGCAAUGCCGCGUGAGUGAUGAAGGCCUUCGGGUUGUAAAGCUCUUUUACUCGGGACGAUAAUGACGGUACCGAGAGAAUAAGCCCCGGCUAACUCCGUG
RNAcentral lists this ribosomal RNA (447 nucleotides) under uncultured bacterium. Its description in RNAcentral is "bacterial SSU rRNA". It matches the Rfam family "Bacterial small subunit ribosomal RNA", at positions 32 to 507 of the family's 1533-position model. The record is from RNAcentral.